AGGAACGUCAGAAACAGCAAGAGCAGGGAAGCUCUCCAGGUACCCCCUUCCGGGCUGCAAACCCUAGCUCAGGCUGGCAAAGUCCAGUUUAGACAUCUUGGAAUGUGACCCAAGACUGUCACAGACCGAGAAGCCGGCCUCGCCCCUCCAGACAGUAGGCUUUGACGACCCUGUCCCUUUAUUUCACUUUGUGUUUCAAUUUCCCUCGCUGCUCCUUAGUCCUCCCUAAUUCCAGUUUAAUGGAACAACAUUUUAGGGUGAGCCGGUGAUAAAAGAGGUGGAGAAAAGAAUUUUCUUGCUCACUCCAAGUACAUAAUCGAGAUGUCUUUUUCCCCAAAGAAGUUCGUUUUGUUUCCUUCCUGCUAGCUGAGACUCACAGCAGCCUUCUGCUUCCAAGCAAUUGUCACCAGAAAACGUGUCAGCAGAGGCUUCUGGAGCUCAAUCACAACAGGAUGACAGGGUCACAUGGACUCCCCCACUCGCCACAGGAGCCUCAGCCUCGCUGCAGACUUCUGAUUGGCCCUCGUCUUUCCGUCUUACCUUGAAAAAGAUAGAAAGAGGCCACUGGUGAAAGCUUCUGCCGAGAUCCAGAGAGAUCCUGCCUGGGGUACUCCGUGAGGCUUCCAUAAUGCCUGUUUCAGAGCACAAAGGAGCCAAAUCGAAGCCAAGGCUUAAUAAAUCCAUCAGCUUCCAGUCUUCCUUGCUUCCCCUUCCAGAUGCUUACACAAACAGCUCAUUUCAGAGUCUUACCAAGGGUGGGUGUAAAGUUCGCCAUCUAUGGUAGUGGAAUGGCUUCCUGUCUCUGAGGCUGUGACCAACUGGCCCAUC
Tupaia belangeri chinensis (Chinese tree shrew) is the source of this 828-nucleotide long non-coding RNA. RefSeq lists it as uncharacterized. The transcript has 3 exons. The record is from RefSeq and is a predicted model, not a curated record. Lineage: Eukaryota; Metazoa; Chordata; Mammalia; Scandentia; Tupaiidae.